This 460-nucleotide ribosomal RNA is filed under the name uncultured bacterium. RNAcentral's name for it is "partial 16S ribosomal RNA". It matches the Rfam family "Bacterial small subunit ribosomal RNA", at positions 338 to 795 of the family's 1533-position model. The record is from RNAcentral.
ACUACGGGUGGCAGCAGUGAGGAAUAUUGGUCAAUGGGCGGAAGCCUGAACCAGCCAAGUAGCGUGCAGGAUGACGGCCCUACGGGUUGUAAACUGCUUUUAUACGGGAAUAACGCGCCUUACGUGUAGGGCUUUGCAUGUACCGUAUGAAUAAGGACCGGCUAAUUCCGUGCCAGCAGCCGCGGUAAUACGGAAGGUCCGGGCGUUAUCCGGAUUUAUUGGGUUUAAAGGGAGCGUAGGCCGCAUGUCAAGCGUGCUGUGAAAUGUCCGGGCUCAACCCGGGCCGUGCAGCGCGAACUGGCGUGCUUGAGUCCGCGGAAAGCAGGCGGAAUUCGUCGUGUAGCGGUGAAAUGCUUAGAUAUGACGAAGAACCCCGAUUGCGAAGGCAGCUUGCUGCAGCGGAACUGACGCUGAUGCUCGAAAGCGCAGGUAUCGAACAGGAUUAGAUACCCCAGUAGUC